Molecule: non-coding RNA, 247 nt
Organism: Phoenix dactylifera (date palm)
Lineage: Eukaryota; Viridiplantae; Streptophyta; Magnoliopsida; Arecales; Arecaceae
Source: RefSeq, a predicted model, not a curated record
UCAUCCACAAGCUCUAUCCUCCCUUCCCGAUGUUUCCUCACAUUCACAGGCUCCAUCCUCCCUCCGUGGUUCAUGCGUGUCCGCUAUUCAUGUCAUUGCCUAUAUUGUAUAUAACACAGCGGUCGUGAAUGGCAUGAAAGCAAGUUGGUUGCUUAUAGGUCAUCCGCAAGAUAGUGCAAAAGAAAAGAUGGCUGCAGUCCGUGCAUGGUUAUUGAUGGCAUUACUCGCAAGCAUUUGCUUGGUGAAA